This 674-nucleotide unclassified non-coding RNA is filed under the name Melitaea cinxia (Glanville fritillary). RNAcentral describes it as "misc RNA ENSMCXG00005021256.1". The record is from RNAcentral. Lineage: Eukaryota; Metazoa; Arthropoda; Insecta; Lepidoptera; Nymphalidae.
AGUACAACCUUGCGCGCCAUUGUGAUCGUGUGUCUCGUCACGCAGCGUUGAUUUUAACAAGUUUACGAACUUGCUAAACAUUCGAUGUUAAAAACUAUUAGUAAAUAAAAAUAUAAUGAGUGUUAGUUUAAAUAAUAGAAUAAGAUGGAAUAAUUUAUAAAAUUUAUAAAUAAUAUGACGAUAUUUAAAAAAUUUAAAUAGCCUUUAAAAUUAAUAUAGUGCGAAAAGCGUGUAGAUUAAUUAGUAAGGAUGAAUGUUUUUGAAGUAUGCACGUAGUUUAAUUCUUUAUGUACAAACACAUCAUUUGAUAUAAUUGCAAAUAUUACAUAAAUAUAAAAAAAAAUCUACAAAAAUCAAUAAAUGACAUCACUAAAAUCCGUAAAAUGACAUCACUAUCGUUCGCGUGUGAUAAAUAAAAUUUUUAAACUCUGAACUAACGAUGUCUUCUGUUGUGUCUCUCGAUGGACGGGAUAAGCCGAACGCAUUGAAACGUUUAACCGCUGCUUGUGUUAGGGCAUCGUGUUCCCAGCUCGGCUUAGUCGUACUUGUGGUAUUGUAUGUGCUACUUGGUGCUGCGCUGUUUGAAUACUUGGAGUCGGGACCGGAGGUUCAGAAACGCUCAGCCAUUCAACGGUCGAGAGAGGAAUGCUUGAAAGAGCUUUGGGCGAUCACAG